This 497-nucleotide ribosomal RNA is filed under the name uncultured bacterium. RNAcentral describes it as "partial 16S ribosomal RNA". It matches the Rfam family "Bacterial small subunit ribosomal RNA", at positions 28 to 507 of the family's 1533-position model. The record is from RNAcentral.
GAUGAACGCUGGCGGCGUGCCUAAUACAUGCCAGUCGAGCGAACAGACGAGGAGCUUGCUCCUCUGACGUUAGCGGCGGACGGGUGAGUAACACGUGGAUAACCUACCUAUAAGACUGGGAUAACUUCGGGAAACCGGAGCUAAUACCGGAUAAUAUAUUGAACCGCAUGGUUCAAUAGUGAAAGACGGUUUUGCUGUCACUUAUAGAUGGAUCCGCGCCGCAUUAGCUAGUUGGUAAGGUAACGGCUUACCAAGGCGACGAUGCGUAGCCGACCUGAGAGGGUGAUCGGCCACACUGGAACUGAGACACGGUCCAGACUCCUACGGGAGGCAGCAGUAGGGAAUCUUCCGCAAUGGGCGAAAGCCUGACGGAGCAACGCCGCGUGAGUGAUGAAGGUCCUCGGAUCGUAAAACUCUGUUAUUAGGGAAGAACAAAUGUGUAAGUAACUAUGCACGUCUUGACGGUACCUAAUCAGAAAGCCACGGCUAACUACGUG